GAUGAACGCUGGCGGCGUGCCUAAUACAUGCAAGUCGAGCGAACAGACGAGUAGCUUGCUCCUCUGACGUUAGCGGCGGACGGGUGAGUAACACGUGAAUAACCUACCUAUAAGACUGGGAUAGCUGCGGGAAACCGGGGAUAAUACCGGAUAAUAUGUUGAAUCGCAUGGUUCAACAGUGAAAGACGGGCUUGCUGUCACUUAUAGAUGGGUCCUCACCGCAUUAGCUAGUUGGUAAGGUAACGGCUUACCAAGGCAACGAUGGGUAGCGGACCUGAGAGGGUGAAUGCCUAGACUGGAAGUGAGACAGGGCCGAGACACCUGAGGUGGGCCGCAGUCGGGACUCUUACGCGAGGGGCGAGAGCCUAAUCGAGCACAGCCGCGGGAGGGAAGAAGGUGUUAGGCCGGGAGAACGAUGUUAUUAGGGAAGAUCUAAUGUGUAAGUAACUAUGCACGUCUUGACGGUACCUAAUCAGAAAGCCACGGCUAACUACGUG
Molecule: ribosomal RNA, 497 nt
Filed under: uncultured bacterium
Lineage: Bacteria
Description: partial 16S ribosomal RNA
Rfam family: Bacterial small subunit ribosomal RNA
Source: RNAcentral